This 495-nucleotide ribosomal RNA is filed under the name uncultured bacterium. RNAcentral describes it as "partial 16S ribosomal RNA". It matches the Rfam family "Bacterial small subunit ribosomal RNA", at positions 28 to 507 of the family's 1533-position model. The record is from RNAcentral.
GACGAACGCUGGCGGCGUGCCUAAUACAUGCAAGUAGAACGCUGAAGGAGGAGCUUGCUUCUCUGGAUGAGUUGCGAACGGGUGAGUAACGCGUAGGUAACCUGCCUGGUAGCGGGGGAUAACUAUUGGAAACGAUAGCUAAUACCGCAUAAGAGUAGAUGUUGCAUGAUAUUUGCUUAAAAGGUGCAAUUGCAUCACUACCAGAUGGACCUGCGUUGUAUUAGCUAGUUGGUGGGGUAACGGCUCACCAAGGCGACGAUACAUAGCCGACCUGAGAGGGUGAUCGGCCACACUGGGACUGAGACACGGCCCAGACUCCUACGGGAGGCAGCAGUAGGGAAUCUUCGGCAAUGGACGGAAGUCUGACCGAGCAACGCCGCGUGAGUGAAGAAGGUUUUCGGAUCGUAAAGCUCAGUUGUAAGAGAAGAACGAGUGUGAGAGUGGAAAGUUCACACUGUGACGGUAUCUUACCAGAAAGGGACGGCUAACUACGUG